This 254-nucleotide ribosomal RNA is filed under the name uncultured bacterium. RNAcentral's name for it is "partial 16S ribosomal RNA". It matches the Rfam family "Bacterial small subunit ribosomal RNA", at positions 524 to 776 of the family's 1533-position model. The record is from RNAcentral.
UACGUAGGCAGCGAGCGUUGUUCGGAAUUACUGGGCGUAAAGAGUGUGUAGGCGGUGUUCCAAGUCUGGUGUGAAAUCUCCCGGCUUAACUGGGAGGGUGCGCCGGAAACUGGAAUGCUUCGAGGGUGGGAGAGGUAAGCGGAAUUCCUGGUGUAGCGGUGAAAUGCGUAGAUAUCAGGAGGAACACCUGCGGUGUAGGCAGCUUUCUGGACCACGACUGACGCUGAGACACGAAAGCGUGGGUAGCAAACAGG